Molecule: ribosomal RNA, 253 nt
Filed under: uncultured bacterium
Lineage: Bacteria
Description: partial 16S ribosomal RNA
Rfam family: Bacterial small subunit ribosomal RNA
Source: RNAcentral
UACAGAGGUGGCAAGCGUUGUUCGGAAUUACUAGGCGUAAAGGGCAGGUAGGUGGUUCGGUAAGUCUGUUGUGUAAGCUCCCGGCUUAACUGGGAAAGGUCAACGGAAACUACCGGACUAGAGUAUGGGAGAGGGUUCUGGAAUUCCCGGUGUAGCGGUGAAAUGCGCAGAUAUCGGGAGGAACACCAAUGGCGAAAGCAGGAGCCUGGACCAUUACUGACACUCAGCUGCGAAAGCUAGGGGAGCAAACAGG